RNAcentral lists this microRNA precursor (111 nucleotides) under Gorilla gorilla (western gorilla). Its description in RNAcentral is "microRNA ggo-mir-517c precursor". Its record names the gene ggo-mir-517c. The stretch from base 18 to 104 matches the Rfam family "mir-515 microRNA precursor family". The record is from miRBase by way of RNAcentral. RNAcentral also lists the same sequence under 1 other name. Lineage: Eukaryota; Metazoa; Chordata; Mammalia; Primates; Hominidae.
UGUCAAAAAAAAGAAGACCUCAGGCUGUGACCCUCUAGAUGGAAGCACUGUCUGUUGUGUAAAAGAAAAGAUCGUGCAUCCCUUUAGAGUGUUACUGUUUGAGAAAAGCAA